UAUGGUUAAUAUCUUAUGCGCGGAUCGGGUUUGGACACCGGGUACAUAGCACGGUUCCAGAGAAAUCUCGUUGCUACUACAUGCAAUGUGCUUAGGUAGAUAGCAGGAAUUUUAAAGUAGCAUGCAUACAAUACAUAGUUGCAUGCGAAACGAUGCUAUCGAAACUAUCAACGAACGUUCCACCAUAAAUUCCCCGCCUAAGAUAAUUCUACACCCUCGAUCCUUCAACCAUGAAUCACUCAAAGCGAAGGCAUUCUCCGAUGUUGCGGUAAUAGUCAUUAUUACGUACGAGGGAUUAGACUUUACGCUAUAUAUUUACAUAAUAAAUCAAAUGGAAACAACGAUAUAACCCUCCCCGUGUAACCCUAUAGAAAUUUUACCCUUCAAUUAUCCCGACCCACCUUCCACUUCUACCAUCUUAACACCCGUAACGUGUCAUUUACGCGUCCGACGCGCGAAUCUUAAUCCUCCCUAUUAUUUUAUUUAUUUAUUUAUUGAACCGUCAUUAAGGGAAAAUUAAGAAACGCGAGAUCUCUUAAAAUAAAAUCUACCGAACGCUUGUCGAGCUUGUUCUUAUUAGCAGAUAGUCUCGAGCACCGUUAAGGUAAGAGCGAGAACACUUUUCCAAGAGGGAGAAGAACGAAUUUUCUCGAAAAUUCGAAAGAAAACGUUCCGAAGCGGAUCGCGUGCGGUCGUACUCUCGAUUCUUUCACUCUCGCGUAAUGGCGGUCGUUAGCGGCGUGGAUCGUUCGACCCUGUUUCGUGGCCGCUUCAUCGUGCACUCGCGCAGCGAAGCGCACGCGCACCGCCCGAUCGAGAUUCGACUCGCGUGCCGAUCACGCGUUCGAGCCGAUCGCGCGCACGCACGCACACACUGGGGCCGCUCGAUUCGCGCGCGUCGUUGCACGCGACCGGCCACGGCGCACACAACCUCCGCCGGGAUGCAAAUGCGCGCUGAAUUCUGCACAACAGUUCUGCGUUCGUGACGAGCGUUCGCAUGCGCCCGUCGCGAAGGGGGUUGACAUCCUGUGCCGUAUCCUCGCCUCGUUAUAUUCAGGACUUUUCGUACGAUCGGAUUCGGGCUCGAUCUUUAACCUUUGGAGAGGGUAUAAUAUAACAAAAUUUUAAGCAAAAGAUACUCGAAAAAGAAAAUUUAUAUAAACCAUAUGAACAUUCGGGCUUACCUAUUUGCCGUUUGUUGUAGCGGUUUCGAUCGAGUCAGAGCUACUUUAAAGUACGUUGGUGAGACGUCUCUUUUAAAACUUUUUUCUACGCCGUUGGAUGUAGCCUAGAAGAUUUGUUAUGCCAUGUUGAAUAGAAUUAAACACAUACGAUGAUUUUGUCGUUCAAAAAAAUUGAAACACUUGGCCGAUAACAGCAAGUAGAAGUCUCGUAUUUGUUGUUCUCGAAUCGAAAACGGUGGUGUCAGUUUAGUGAGGAUAGCGUAGAAUCCCUGUCGGACGGUUGUCCGAUGGGGAGAGAUAAAUGGUUCGGACACGAAACCGAGAGAGGAUGCUUUUAGUGCAGUUACGGUGGAUGUGUACGAUGGAUGUGACGGGCGUCACGUAACGCUUGUUUGGUGCCUCUGGGAUGCUGAAAUCGAUAAUGAAACGGUAGAACAAAGUAAUUUCUCGAACGCGAUAUCUGACUUAGAGGGAUCGUUCCCCAAACCGCUUUAUCCGUUUAUCCUCCGAGCACGAAGUGAAAACCGACUUCCAAUCUCCGUUUCUCCACGCGUGACUUGCUGGCGAUGGAAAUGGCUGAGAAUCCAUUUCCAACGUAGCUUUAUUGUCGUUGCAAAUCCUCGAUAAAUUUUCGCUCUGCGAAAAACGCUUUUCGCGCCUGAGAAACUUUCUCCGAUCGUUCCUUUUUCAGGAGGAGUUAAAUUAGUUAGUUAAAUCAGCGCGUGUUCCAUAAAUUAAUGGAAGCGUCGGCUGAUUUAUCGGGUAAGAAGGCGGGUAAGAAGCGUUGAACGAGGUAGGCACGCGUGCGAUCGAGCAGCCGACCGAUUUCACUUUCCCCGAUCAGGAAGCCGCCUCGCCUCCUAUUCUCUUUCUCUCGCUUUUUUCGCGGCAGGGAAAAGUAAAGGAGAACCGUGAGAGACGGAGAGAGCGCCACCAAGGUGUUGAAAAAUCGGAUCCCCGGAUAUGCGGGCGAGGAGGGGAGGGGGCCCCUCUCUCGUCCCCCCAAAUUUCCUCUUCCACCUUAUUUUUUUUGCUCCCUAAACCAUUUUCUCGAAACUCGUUUCCUUCUCUUUGAGAAUUCUUCUCGCCAAUCUUUUUUCGCCAAUCGUUUUACUCCAAAGGGAAUUUUAUUUCCCUUUUCUCGUGAUAGUAUUAUUUAUUCCCGAAAAUUUUAAAUUUUCAUUAAAUCGCAUCCAACUCGUCCCUUCUUCGCCGAUUUCUCUCAUAUAUAUAUACAUAAACGGUCGACAUGGAGAAAGGAGAGGAAAAAGAAGUGGAUGCAGUCCUCCUCCUCCUCCUGCUCGCAUGAAUAAGAGGCAAAGCGUAUACCGUGGUAUCCACGCUGAUAAAUCGUAUCGUGGAAGCGAUCGAGACGCGUGCCGGGAGAACGGUGGCCCGAAUCGCGACGCGGCGACCGCUCCCCUCCCCCUCCCCCGUGCAGAGGUUGGAUCGAUGGAUCGUUUCAACGCCGAGUUCAACGUUCUUUGUUCGGUUUUCGAGCGUUUUGGAGCGAUCAGGGGGAGAGGAUCGCGGACCAACACCCCUUCCUCCUCCAACCCCCGAUCGCGGUGUCCUGUUCCAUCUCUCUAUCCAUCCAUCCGUCCCGCUCCACCUUCCUCCUCCCCGCCCCUGUCUAUCCGUCUCCCCGGGCUCUGGACAGCGAACACGCCAGGCGGGUCAACGCACCUAAGGCCUAACGAGCGACCAACCGAGCCAACCUAUCCAUUCUGCCUACCUACCUACCCAUCUACCUACUUAUCGCCACUUAUUCACUCGCUUCUCUCAGCCAGUGGAAUCCCGAAUUGGUGAAUCGGCCGUUUAACCACGCGCGCGACCCGCCACCUCCGCGGACGGAAGAGAAGAGAGGAAUAAUGGCGGAGCGAGUCUACGUCUUUGAUUUCGAAUUCUUUCUCUUCCCGCUGGAUUAUCGAGCGCUGCGAUUCGUUCUGAUGUUCUUGUCCUUCUUUUUUUAAUAUGAACUUUUGACGAGGACGAAACUUUUAUCUCGAUUAAUCAUCGUCUACGAUAUCCUGUGCGUGUAUUAAUUGGAUCGUCUCGCUGGGAAUAUCGGACAAAGGAUCUGCUUGCUCGUAAAAAUUUCAUUCGUUUGGUUUUUCAUUUGAUUUAUCGAGAGAAGAGUUCGUUCCUUCCUUGAAAUUUUCAAGAUAUAUUAUAUUGUUAUACUCGAUGAUCCAAACAAUUUUCAAAAAGACCUUAUCAAAGAGAUAUAUAUACAUCUAUAAAAAUGAUGCCUUCGAUUUUUGCACGUAUGCUUACAUACUUUGCGUAAUUAUAUCCAUCUAUCCAAUCAUCUGUUAUCCACCUAUCGGUUGUUGUUUGCUCACCGCCAGAUGAGAGGAACAGCUGAGCGGCGUGAAAGAAUGAACACGGAGUGGAGAGAUACGAAAUAUCAUAUGGACGGAUGAUAAUUCGUUGCGGCCCCUGUAUCGAUGGAACACACGGGCAUGGCGCCCCGGCUUCAGGUCACUGAUCCAGCUGAAUCGAUUCGCAAGAAACGGGCUCCGCUCGAUCUCGACGGCGGGAGAGGGGGAAGGGGAGGUAUCACACGGUCGCCACGGUUUUUUUCACAUGAGAAAAAGAGCAUCGAAGCUGGCCUGGCCCUCGAUUAACGGGGAAUGGGUCACUUCGUGUUGAAUCUGGACGAGUUUCUUCGAGCCUUUUGUCCUCCAUAUAUGUAUAUAUAUAUAUAUAUAUAUAUAUAUAUAUAUAUAUAUUUAGAGAGAGAGAAAGAUGGAUUUUAAUUUUAAGACGAAGCGGAUCGUGAACGAUGCGAUUUGAGAAAUGGAAGAAACGAGGAGAGGAUGGAUUUCGGAUGAUCGAAGGUGGUUGAAUUGGUUUGGCGUUUAGAGAGGAGGCGUCUCGAGAAGCUGAGAACGAAACAGGAAGUGGGAACUGUGACGAAUCGGCCGGGAGAGUCGUGGUCGGUAAGUAUCGCCUGGAGCACGUCCGAUGGGGCAUCGAGGAAUCAAUUAUACGAGGCAGGAUCGCGGCCGCGAGGACAAAGAGAUUAUAAAGGAAAGUGUUCCGAUAUCGCCACUCAUUUCCCAUUCGCGUACGGUGGAAUGUCGAUUGUCCGAAUUGUCCAAAUCGUUGAUUAUUCGAACACGAGGAUUAAAAGUUAGAAACGGAGUGGAGAGUAAAUUCUGAAUCACGGAUUCUGAAUCAAUACUGGAGUUAAACAGAGAGUCACAAACGUCAGAAACGGAUCUCUAAUCGGGACACGGACACAUCCCCACCAGAGAUGGAAAUUCUACAGCUACUUGCAUGACGUAGCGGAUCGUUUCUCAAUACGAAUGAUUCACACUUUUUCCUCCGAUCCUGUUACUGUUCAAGAAAAUUCCCCCGUCGCGACGAACCAUCCGCCACGAUCUUCAUUUACCGAUCGAUCGAUCGAGCAGCAUCGCGAUAAAAAAACCGACGCGUCCAACCGAUACGAUUCAACGGAAUUCGAUCGACGACAGUCGGCUCAUCGACCAUUCCACCGUCCUCUUCCCUCUUUCGUCCCAUCCCACGGACCCAGCUCCUGUUUCCCUCUCUCUCUCUUUCUCUCUCCCGGCCCCGUUUUCCCGGAAGCGUGUUUCCCGGUGAACAACCGUGGCGAUUCGCGAGCCGCUCGCGGCGAACAGCGAAAUUCGAUCGAGUUUCAGUAUUCCCGGCCGCGAGUCUCGGCUUGUUCGUCUCUCGGGACAGGGUGAACGGCCGACCUAGAGGCUGCGCCGAGAGCGGCCGCCUCUCGCGGGAGUUUCGACCGAGGCGGGAAUCCACGCUCUCGUACACACGUAUCUUCGUAAGGAUUAAAUACCUGUUACCUCCUCCGAAUAUCGUCAAAUAUAUUUUUAUUCGAUCGUCGAAAAUCCUCUCUCGACAGAGGAUUAGAAGAGGCUCGUCGAGUCGAUGGGAGAAUUCGGAGCCAAAUGCGGCCCUCCUCUUCCAACACAGCAUUGACAAAUCGACAGAUUAUCCUAGUUCUUUCUUUUUCUUUUUUUUAAACACUGAAUCGAGCGGAAGAGACGAAGGGCACGAUGACUGUGCAGAAUUCCGCGCAAUCCAUUCCUCGAUUCGAAGGAUAGGAGGAUAAAUUUGGAUUUAUUCGGGUGAGGGGCGAAUUAUGGUGGCUAGUCAUCGUCCUCUCGUGGCGGUGGCGACCGAGAGAGGAGCGGAGUGGUUAGGUCAGGGAGAGUCCCGGCGCAAAACUUUGCCACGCACAUCGGCACAAUCGCCUCGACAACUCGAGCGAGUGACUCUCUCUCUCUCUCUCUCUCCUUCUCCUUCACGUCUAUCUCUCCCUCCGUCUCUCUCCAUCCUCCCGUCCCCCCGUCUCGCCGUCCUCCUCCUCCUCAUCCUCCUCCUACCUCCCUUCGCACGCUCGCUUCGUUUCCUCCUGUCCUCCCUCGCCUUCGCACCUUUCCACCAGGACGUCACCCUCCCCUCGCCGUCUCCUCUUCCUCAUUCCCUCUCCCUCUCGCCGCGAGAUUCCUUCUUCCUCCUCCCCCCAUCACCCUCCCCUCUCUCUAGCAUCCUCCUCUCAUAGCGUCUUUCACUUUUUCCCAGCCGCUAGUGGAGCAAGCCGAGCGAGCCGACUCGACUUCCGAGUCCUUCGACGACCUAGGAUCACGUCCGUGCCGCCCGAUUAACAUCGCCUUGUCGCUUCUUCCUCCUCCUCCACCGACGCCCCUCUGCUCCUCAAUCUCUCUCUCUCUCUCCUUUUCUCUUUUCUCCACGCCGCGACAUCUCCCGUGUGUCAGGAGAUUCCGUCUGGCCGCGCCACUUCCGGAUCUGGAUGACCGUGACGAGAGAGUUUCUCUAUUGUCAGCAGGAUCUUGGAAGGAGGCACGCGACUCGCGGGGAUCGCGUCACGUGCAGCGACCAAGGCUGCCUUCCACGCCGCGUUUCGCAAGCUAUCUUGUUCGAUAUCGCGUCCUGACAUUUUUGUAAUAACUGGUGAUUUCAAGAUGAAUCAUGAUCGAUGCGUUAGAGAAGAUGAGACACGACUUUUGUUUGUUUCUUCCUCCGCUUUUUCGAAAUGUAAAUAUAUAACGAUACAAGGGAAAAGUUAUCGAUACUCUGAUCCCAUCACCGGUUAAACGGUCGAUUACUUCCUAAUUCGGAAAUACCGGAUUACCCCGUAAGAUAAUUAUAACGAUUGAUCAUUAACUAAGCGGCGUGUACGUGUAUAUCCACGAAUAUCCACCAGUUUAGUUCCAUCGUUAGCCGCCUAAUGACCCCGGCGCGUCUAAGGAAACGAGGCGCACAAAGGGGGCACGAGGUUGGAGUAGGAAGCGAGAGCCGUAAUUAAAGGCAUUUCAUCGUCAAUGUGGAGCGAACGUGUCGGCUUGAAAGCCCCUUCCGGCCUCCGGUGAUCAACCAACGCUCUUCAAAAACCUCUUCUUCUUCUUCUCCUAUCUAUUUAAUCGUUAGCCAGCCUUAAUUAAUCGUAGUAGCCCAACCGGUGCGACGGUUGGCCUACGAGAGACGUUCGCUUGCUCGCCGCAUCCUCCCGAACGGCCGCGUCUUUUCGAAACUCUUUUCACGUUGCGUAAACGUCGUGGAUAAGUAGGCAGGCCGCUCGUCCGUUGCACAAUCAUCGCGCCGUGUCGCGCGUUUACCGUCGCGUUGGAACGUGAAACGAAGGGCACGCACGGUGAAAUUUCGGUUUUGUACAAAAAUGGAAAUUGUGGAAAGAAAUGGAUGGUUUCAUUGGAAUUGGAACGAAAUUUCGGCAAGGUCGAAAAAUUCGAUGGAAUUCGUAGCAUCUAGACUGGUUCGACGUGUCGUAACGAGCGCGAGAGAUCGAGCCGAUCGGCUCGUUUGGCGCCAUUGAGAGGGUUCCGGUUGCACCACGUGCUUCCGUUCGCGCAUACAGCAAACGCGCGCACGCGUGAAUAUCGAGUCUCGAUCUCUCCAUCGCUCGAAUUAUGUUUAUCAAGGCGCGACUCGGGGCCGUUCUUUUCUAACUGUCUUUUUUAAACGACUCUCCCUCUUAUCUUCAUUAUCCGUGGUGCCGAUUACGCCCACGCUUGUCCAAUCCUGUGGAUCCUAAAUGCUAAACGCCAAGAUUUACAUUUCCGCGCAAAAAUUCUCGUUUAAUGACAGCUUGCAACGUCGAAGGUGCACGCAGAGACCGGCGUCGAAUCGAACCUUGAGGAUGAUCAAGUAAUUUAUGACUCCCUCUUCCCCUCCCUCUCUCUCUCUCCUCCUGCCCGCCACCUCCUCCUCCUCCUCUCUCUCUCUCUCUCUCUCUGUCCCUCGCGCGUUCUGCUCCUCUUCUCCUCCUCCUCCUCCUCCUCCUCCUCCUCCUUCUCGCCCGACCGUCGUCUCCUCUUCCUCUCCUCCUCCACUCCCCUCCCCCUGUCUCGUUGCGCGUUGUAUCUCUCGGUUAGACUUCGUAGAAGGACGCUACCCCUCCAAAGAGUCGAGAGCGGGAUGCUGCUGGUGGUGGGACGGACGAGCAAACCGAGAGUACCACCGAGUCGUUCACCUUUUAUCCCAGUAACACGAAGUCGUAGCCGCGAGCGACGACGGGCGACAAACUACAAACUGCACGUUCUCGCGGUAUAUCUACACGACGACGACCGACCGAUGCCGGUACCGUGCUUUAUUUGUAUCGGCCGAUCAGAUGCCGCCGUGUAUCGCCGUGUAUAUCUCUCUCUCUCUGUCCCUCUCUCGUCUUAUUCUCUCGUCUUCGAUCCGUUAGGGUCGUCUCGCUCGCUUCUUCUUCUUCUUCUUCUUCUUUUUAUUAUUAUUAUUUCAUCUUGUUUGUUUUUCUUCUCUUCCCUUCUUUGUUUUCCACCGUGGCCUCCAUCACCACGCUCGGGGAAGGGCGAGAGGGGGGGCUUCUUCUCGCUGCUCGUAAAAUACGCGAGUCCAAAUUGAUGUCCCUCUACGAGAGAUGGGUGAAAAAUGGAGGUGAUUUACGAGCGGGUGUUGCGGUCUCUGGAUACGUAUUUUUAUAAAUUAAUAAAAUCGUCGUUGUUGAUUCUAAAACGGGAUUCGAUUUUGGGGAUCGGAGGAGAGGUUUCGAAGGAUUCUUUUGCCCGUUUUGAGAAAAUAUUUUUAGUUUUAUUUCCCGGAUAAUUUUCCAUUUUCCUAACGGGAUAGAGUAUAAUAAAUGGCAAUAGACUCAUCGACGUUUCUGUACGUAUUCCUUAAGGAAUAUUCGUUCGAACGAUCGAACAGCGACGUUGCAAACAAAGAUGUCGCUUUCACGAAUUGGGCCAUUAAUUCUAUCGUUAAAUCGAGCAACACAGUAUAAAAAAAAUUAUUCUUAUCUCUGUCCAGUUUUAUUCAUACACUUUAAAACUUCGUUCGCCUCUGAUUCAAGGUUCUCUUUUCAUUCCUCCGAAUGAACGAAACCGAAUAGUUUCAUAAUUACAUUUCCUAAAUUACUCCGUCUUUUAACUAGAAAAUUUAUCUCGACAAUCGUCGAAAGAAACAGUCCCUCUUCCAUAUCGAGCUCGGAACCGAAACUUCCAUUCACUAAUUAUAACCCGUUUUAAAAUUACUUUAUCCUCGAUCUUAUCUCCAAUUAUUUCGAAAGGGAAUUCUGUUCCAGGCGAGAGCGAUCGAAAGUUCCAUAAAUCGCUCCAUUCUCAUAUUUAUCCCUCUUCCUCGAGGAAACGAAGACGAGGAAGAAAGCCCACUUUCAGCUAUCCCCGAUCCGAUACGGAUUGCGAGGGAGGCGGAACGUGGCUUAGGUAGGCCACCGUCUGGGGCCUACCGGUCAUUGUCUCCUGUGCGAACGAGAGGAGACCCAGGAGGUGUACGUGCAUACCCAUAGUUGUCUUAAUGGGGCCAGAACGGCGACCGCGGUGGGCCACACCCUUAAUCCUCGCCGCCACUCAGAGAAUAGUCGCGAUGCGCAAUAAACGCCUCGACAAUUUCUCCGACGACGAAUUGGACGCGCUCGAAAGUACUGGGAUUUAUUCAGCCGGGAAAAUCAGGCGAGGAGGGGAAAGGUUUCGGGGCAAAACGAAAAUCCGCUUGACGCGUUUUACGACUGCCGGACGUCGGCACGGUGUCGAAGAGGGAUUAAAGGCGAGGGUUAGUUCGCGGAAGGCUCGUAUUUCACGGGGAACGAGCCACGGAAGCCUUCGCGAAGACGUUCGCCGCCUCGUUAUUCGUACGAGCGAUGCGUCACUUUUUUCCUCCGAGCUGUUCUCCAGACAUUUAAUAACGGAUAAUGGAAUAUUCGCGCUUCGAAAUAUCGUCGUCGACGUUGUAUAUAAUAACAAUUGAUAAUUUUGAAUAUCUUUUUUCAAUUUUUUUCCAAGGCUUCUUUUCGACGAUAUAUUCCGAAAUAUCGUUGUUUGAGCGUGUAAAAUUUUUCUGUUCGAUGUUUUCUAUCAAUCUUGAAAUUCUAUCUCGUAAAAUGUGAUAACAGCCUGUAAUUUGAUACGUUAAAAUGAUAAUACGCUUCCGUGGUCUCUCCUUUUUUGAAAAAAUUCAUCGAUGAUCCGGUUUCUUCUAAGUUUCUUCUUAAUUUCACUAAGUUUCUUUUAUCGUUUAAUGAAUUUCCUCGAUUUAUUGAAAAAAAAAAGAAAAAUAAGGAUCACUCCUCCCUUUUUUUCUUUUCUUUCUCUUUCGACCAAGCUUUCGAAAAUGCAUUACAUUACUUAAUAAUGCAAACCUAAUAGCACAUAUACACGCGUGCAGUUCAAAGGUGACGAUACGGUGAAACGAAUUUUACCGAUUUCCAAGCAUUUACGACCGGUUACGUAAGCGUCUCGUCUCGUUCGAUCCGAGACGCGGAGCCUAUUAGCUAACGAGCUUCCUUAUCGAGUGUAUUAGGGUUGGAACGAAGGGAAGUCGCAGAAUUCCAGCUCUCGUAGGACGAACGUAGGAAGAGCCGGUAUACGCGAUGAUUUAAUGCACGCGCACGAGUUUAUUUUCGCAUCGCGUAUGAGCGCGCGACUCCGAUGCAACUCGAACGAACGAAUUUGAAAUCUCGACUCGUCGUUUUCCCUUCCUUCUCCCCACUCGUCCGUCCAUUCCACAGACAAACGUUCGUAUUCGAGAAAAACGUAUUAUAAAUUGCACUGCGCCCGAUUUAUCUCGGCGUAAGGGGAUAACGAGUGUAUAAAAGUGAUUUUAUCGGGAACGAUGACGAGAGAAAAAAUAAAUAAAAAGAAGAAUCGUCGAGUUUGUUGCGAUAACGUUACCUCUCUUCAGCGGGGCGCGAUAACGAAUCGAUUCUGCCGUAUACGAGGUCAAUGAAUUCUUCGCUCCUCGCAAUUGUCCUCGGAAAUCGCUGAUAAAGCGGAAUCGAGCGAUAGAUCUAUGAACGACACGGAUUCUUCUAAUUGAUCUUGAUCUUGAUCGCGUUCGAAGAAAAGGAGAAAUAUCGUAACAGCGAUUAUUAAAUUUUAAAGAGAUUGGUGGGUCUCAAAUUUUCGCUAACAAUUGUAUCGAUUAUUUCUCAGUGGAAAAUUCGUCGAUCGCGCACACGAUCCAGUUUUCCAUCCGGGAAACACGGGCUCGCAUACUUGGCCAACGUUCCGCGGACUUUUUGCCCUGUCCGCGCGCGAGGCGAGCGCGCAGCGCCGCGAGCAGAGACCACCACGGGCGCAAACUAGUGGAACGGGAGACGUGAAACGCACCGGUUGCACCACCCAAAAGAUAAACGCCGUCAUCGAUCGUUCAUCCAUUACCACGAAAUUCCAUUUCGAAACGGAAUUCGUAUGAAUCACGCGAAGCUGCGACUGCGUGUUUACGUGUCCUUUCCACUGGCACAAUUCUUGCUCGCUUCCUGCUUCGCAGAGAAACGGCCAAAAAUGGCUGACGCUCUUCUAGGUAGUAGUGUUACCAUUCCAUCUUUUCGCGAGUAAUUCCUGUAUUAUUAGAAACGUUGUUCUCUGAAACUUUUCUUUGAGGAUAGAGUUUUAACUUUAUUCGUUCGGGGAAAAAAAAAAAAAAGAAAAAGAGGAAGGGAUUAUUUUUUUAGAAUUUUUAAAAGAAACUUUAUCCGUGCGUGUCUUACCGCAAAACGAUUCUUAACGAAAAACGAUUCUUCUCUCCAACUCGAAUUUCUAUCUUCGAAUCGAUCGAUCGGCUAAACACGUUUAAGCAAACUAUUCAAGUUAGGAAUAAUUCACUUAACCGUACCCACAUCCCCAAGGAUGAAAUUGUAAUAUUUCGACCGCGAAAAUUAUCCCGUCCCUCGAAGCGACGAGCAGUCCCACCUCGUCCAAUCGUUCGUGAAAAUAUUCUGCUGGAACCCCGGGAGGAGCGUCCACCGUUCGGAAGUGUCUCUCUCUCUUUCUCUCUUUCUCUCUCUUUCUCUCUCUCCCUUCCUCGAGUGACCAACGAAUCCCACUUUCCUCCCCACGUUGGAUUGGGCCCCGGCACGGCACACUCGUGGGGGUUGGGCUCGUCCGGACGAUAUAUCGGGGGAAAUUUUCCGAAAGCUUGAUCGUAGUGCCGAUUGCCGGUGUAGCCGGUGGCGUCGACCAAUCAGCGUCGCCCCCGGUCGAGCAAGUGGGGGUCAGCCAAGACUUAAGCGAGGCCACUCGCCGUGGAGCUGUCAGAGCUCUGUGGGGCACGGUCACGCACACAGCAGCUGGUCUUUUUUUUUUUCGACACUUUCUCCAUUCAUUUCUUCCUUUUUUUCUCUCUCUCUUUCUCUCUCUCUCUUUCUCUCUCUCUCUCUCUCUCCCCUCUCCUCCCCUCCUUUCUUUUUCCUCCUUCCUAUCAUUCCUCCCGCCUCCCGUUUCUUUCUCGGCUACGAGAUCCCCUCGGUAUCGGUUCGGUAUUCUGUUCUCUCGGCAACGUUUCUCACAACCGUGCUCUGUUCCGUCCACUGGCCCGUGGAUCGUGGCCGUGUGGAUUCAUCGGCUCGCGGAGUGUAGUCCGAAACGCGGGGAUUCGCGGCGUGUGCAUCCGAGCGCCGUUUUUUGUUUUUCUCCUUUCCCCUCCCCCCUCCCCCCCGUUCCUUUCCUUCUCCCUUUUUCUCCUCGUUUCUCGCCCCACCUCGCCCGCGAAAAGCUACGUUUGACGAGCAGUGAGAUCACACCGAGGACAGAGAUCGUGCGACAGAGGUCGAAUUUGGUCCCCUCCCUUGGAGGCCUCCCCCCCUCCCUCCUGUGGAGAACGUCUCGAGAGGAUAGCUAGGGUGGAGAGAUAUGGCUCGUCAGUUGGACCCUACCGGCCAGUAUUGAAACCACUUGGAUCCAUCCCGGGGAGGAUACACCACCGUUCGUUCGAUUCUCGUUCGACUCGAGUGACAGUUCGACAUCAUCGGUUGACAUCAUGGCAACUGGAUUGGACCCCACCGGGCUCUACUGAACACAGAGAGGAAACCAGAAGAGCCGCUUUCCCCCCCACCACCAUCACCAUCACCACCACCAGCAGCAGCAGCAGCAGCAGCAGCAGCAGCAUCAUCAUCACCACCGUCACACAACCACGUACAACACACGGACGCACUGUAUUAUAAGAGAGCGCGUGUACGCAGGGAAGAAACCGGAGAGAUAGCCGAUCGAGAAAAAAAAUAUCCGUGGCCAGUUUCCGUGUCGAGUUCGAUUAUUUAUCAUCGCGCAUCGUGAGGGGACGCAUCCCGGCGAAUAGAGGAACAUGGCUGGACUCGAUCCGACCGGUCAGUACUGAAGGAAGGGAAGUGGAGGUAGGUCGAGGAGGAGGAUUCCGGAAGAGGCGAGGAAGUCGAUCGUGUGGAGUCGAGGAAGAGAUACCUCAAGGUCGCGACAUGGCUGCCAGCACGGGCCUCGAUCCAACCGGCCAGUAUUGAACCCCUCUCUCUCUCUCCCUCCCUCCCUCUCUCUCUCUCUCUCUCCUUCUUUCUCACUCCCUCUCUUCGUCCACGAAGGGAGAAGCUUCUCUAAUUAAUCGAAUCGAGGGGAUUAUACGAGGAGAGGAAGGUGGAAAAGGGGGAAGAAGAGGAGGUUGGAAAAGUUGAGUCGAGGUGCGUCGACGAUGGGUAGACGAGUGAGGGGUAGAGAGGAGACCUCGACCUCGAAUCUGAGGAGAACCGAGUGGAGCAUCCACAUACGGAAGGGAAGACAUCGUCCGCCGUUCACGUUGGAUCUCAAGACUCAUCAAUGAACCCGCUCGGAGACUGUCACUGCCUGCGCCUAAGAGAGAGACAGACCAGCAACAACGUCACUGCCGUUCGAGGAAUCCGGAUCGUUGCGCGAUCGGAUCGAGCUCGCGACCGCGAUCCACGCCCCUCGAGAAACAGCUAGAAAGGGGGAAGAGAGAAAUAUAUACGUAUAUAUAUAUAUAUAUUCAGAGGAGCAGAGGAAACACACGAGAAUGGAAGCUUCGCACUGCCAUGAGCAUCAGUCACCAAGCUUGCUGUUGUUCUUCGUUCAACAUUAUUAUCACUCGUCGAGGAAAGCGAAAGAGAGGAUUGGAUAUGCGUAUACGUUGUUCGAAACCUCAUCGUCAUCGUCCUGCACCUUCCACACCUUUCAACGAUGAUGAUCGAUCCGCAGGAUUGUCCGUUUUUUGACGCGUGUUCGUUUCACCUUUCUCCAUCGGUCCCGUCGAGCCGCAUUCGAGGGAACGAAUUUCGAGAUGUUACUAUUUUUUAUUAUUAUUAUUAUUAUUAAUUAUAAAUAAUUAUUAUUACUACUAUUAUUAUUAUUACUAUUAUUAUUAUUAAUUAUAAAUUAUUAUUAUUAAUAUUAUUAUUAUUAUUAUUAUUAUUUAAAUCUUAUCGUUAAGAGGGCACCGUUAUAAAUAUAUAUAUAUAUAGAUAUAUAUAUAAAUAUUGUACAUGUAUAUGAAAACGUAGGUGCGGACUAAGGAUCCUAAACACGAUGGCCGCGAAACUUCCGCAUCCCCGUAUCUCCCCGUAUAUUGGAAAAUUGUUGUCAUUACUCUCCGAUAGUUACUUUGGUUACUGUAUAAAGACGCACACUUAAACACGUAUGCACGGAUACUCUAGGAGUCUCUCCCUCUCCUUCUCUCACUACACUAUACACACGAUGACGCUGAAUUUACUUAAACGUUUCUCGGCCUCUGGCCCCUCGUUCAGCCUCUUGUUACAUGUAUCCAGUCCCAUUCCGAAUGGGUGAUUUAAUAUAAAAGGAGCUAUGCGAACGCGAAUGGCCAGGCACGUUUCAGUUAAAUUCAACGUAGAUUUUUCGUUUCAUUUUCCCCUACCCGCCCUGUGCGUUAUUGGCUUUUACCACAGGCUAUUAUACUUACUAUACUGCUACCCGCCGCUAUAUCGCCUGUUACGCAGCAAUUAUCCGCGGCUACUGCCGCGGCUACUUUAUCCUCUAUCGGCCGAUAGAGCCGUUACGAGGCGCGAACACGGAAAAAUACACAUCACCCCUCCUGUUAUUCCCCUCCUCCCCAGGCGAAACGAUUGAAUCGAUCUUCAGGAUCGUUUCUCCUUCUUUUUUUUUUUUUUUUUUUUUUUUUGAUCGAUGGAUCACCUGGUCACCCGUAAACGAGAGACUCCACAACGGCGCGGACGAGGGAAGAAAUAUCCGAAUAUCGCCCUUCCUUAUAACCUUUAUAUAAUAUCAGCGCCGUAAUUACCACUUAAAUUAUUCUCACUAUUUCUAUUUCUUACCUUUAGAAUAUAUUUAUUUGAAACAAA
Molecule: long non-coding RNA, 14766 nt
Organism: Apis cerana (Asiatic honeybee)
Lineage: Eukaryota; Metazoa; Arthropoda; Insecta; Hymenoptera; Apidae
Source: RefSeq, a predicted model, not a curated record